CCUACGGGAGGCAGCAGUGGGGAAUAUUGCACAAUGGGGGAAACCCUGAUGCAGCGACGCCGCGUGAGUGAAGAAGUAAUUCGUUAUGUAAAGCUCUAUCAGCAGGGAAGAAAAUGACGGUACCUGAGUAAGAAGCCCCGGCUAACUACGUGCCAGCAGCCGCGGUAAUACGUAGGGGGCAAGCGUUAUCCGGAUUUACUGGGGGUAAAGGGAGCGUAGACGGCAGUGCAAGUCUGGAGUGAAAGGCGGGGGCUCAACCCCCGGACUGCUCUGGAAACUGUACGGCUGGAGUGCAGGAGAGGUAAGUGGAAUUCCUAGUGUAGCGGUGGAAUGCGUAGAUAUUAGGAGGAACACCAGUGGCGAAGGCGGCUUACUGGACUGUAACUGACGUUGAGGCUCGAAAGCGUGGGGAGCAAACAGGAUUAGAUACCCGGGUAGUC
This 440-nucleotide ribosomal RNA is filed under the name uncultured bacterium. RNAcentral describes it as "partial 16S ribosomal RNA". It matches the Rfam family "Bacterial small subunit ribosomal RNA", at positions 338 to 795 of the family's 1533-position model. The record is from RNAcentral.